UCUGAAGUGUCAACACAGGCUGAAAGCAGA
Molecule: non-coding RNA, 30 nt
Filed under: Mus musculus (house mouse)
Lineage: Eukaryota; Metazoa; Chordata; Mammalia; Rodentia; Muridae
Source: RNAcentral